ACGCUGUGGCUGUCAGGAGCCCAGUCUGGCUCAGUCCCUGCCUGUUUCACCCACACCCAGGCGCCCCCUUGGACAGAGGCAGAGGAGAGGCUGCGUCUCCCGGAAGCAGCUCCUGUCACGUCCCGGGCAACCUCACCCUCCUGCCUUCACGUGGGUCUGCACAUCCGGGCACCAGGCCUCCUGCCUAUCGCCGGCUGGGUCUCCCGGCUCCCUGGCCCUGCCAAGCACAGGCAAGGCGUCAUGAGUAGCGACUCGCUUCUCGGGACCACACAAAGCCACUUCCGGCCCAGCCCACAGGCCCCAACCCCCCAUGCUCCCCACGCUGGGUGCUGCCUGGGGCCCGGUGGAGCCUCCUUUCUCAGACACUGGCCCUGGAAUCUGAAAGAGGAGACAGCCAGGGAGAGGACAAGAGGAGAGGUGAGGACCCUGUGUACCUGCAUCUGACAGGGAAAGGGCAGUUAAAAACCUACUCUGAAAAGAGCAAAGAUGUACUUUAGCAUGAAACUGAGAAGAUGCUCCAAACAUGAUGUAGACCAUCCCAGGCCAGAGGGGUAGAAAGCACGCCAGGGACGGAGGAGCAGACGGAUGCUCACAGCCUCACACAACCACUCCAGCCCAGGCGAACAGAGCCCGACAGGUCACGUACCUUCCUGGCUGCUGCUGCUGCACUUUGCCCAGAGUUUCUUACUUUUUGCCACAGCCCUGCGGAGCACGACUCUCCUGACUGACUCAGCACUGAACACUACUCACGGACCUCCACUCGCCUGGCAGGUGGCAGCCCUGUGACAUGGAUGCUGGAUUGGUCCUGGUCUUGGGGUAUCAUGCACUACUGAACUCCCCAAACAUCUGGGGACAAACAAAAUAGGUCACCAAAUAGGUCAUCAUUUGUAAAGUAAAAAAAUGCUUUCAACACUGAACAGCUAAGCUGGGCGUGGUGGCGCAUACCUGUAAUUCCAGCACU
Fukomys damarensis (Damara mole-rat) is the source of this 961-nucleotide long non-coding RNA. RefSeq lists it as uncharacterized. NCBI's taxonomy places the organism in Eukaryota, Metazoa, Chordata, Mammalia, Rodentia, Bathyergidae. The transcript has 4 exons. The record is from RefSeq and is a predicted model, not a curated record.